GAAUGAGAAGGUGUGUCCAAACUUUUGGCCUGUACUGUACAUUUCCCACAUAAUCUCAGAUGACAGAAAACAUGUACAUCAUCGUAUUACCUGCACCUAAAGAAAGCCAGAACUCUCAAAUGUUGAAUUUUGUGUCAAUACAAAAAAAACCCUUGAAUUAAAUGCAGUCUCAAGCUGGAUAAACAAAUAAGGAACUAUCUGAUCAACAGCUUCAUCAACAAGAUUAUAAAUCUGACCAGGUACUUUUACAGUCUUUAAUACUCAUUGUGACUCAUGCAUUGGGGUUUGAUACCCAGCCCCACCGACCACAGCAAGAACCGACAGUGUUUUUAUAAUUUUUCAUUUUCCUCAUCUCCCAAGAUGCCAAACUUAAAUGUCUGACAUUAGCACUUACUUGUCCACAAAAUGCCUCCAGCUUUAUCCACCCCUAGGACACAAAUGUCUGAGGUACAAACCCAGAAAUGCAGAAGUUUGUCAUCUCCUUCUGAAGAAAAUGGCUUCAGCUCAGGCACAGAGAGCAAAGCACAAAGUCAUCUGCACAGACAUGCAGUAGAAUUCCAGUAUGUGUUAAUGAUGAGGAAUAUUUGCAGAAAAAUAGCUUCUGUAGCACUGAGUGGACAGGAUUAGCCUGCUAGCCUAGCUUAACUGUUAUUGUAUGUUGCCAUGCACACUUUGCACUAACUCUUUGACCACCUUCUCUCACUCACCACUGAAGCACUGUCUGGGUUAGCAGUGUGACGUUACCAUGUCUGAAGAUCUAAGAUGUUCAUUUCUGAUUUCGGUCUUUCGGACUUUCCUUUCACCUUUCUGCUCACCUUGAAGUCAUUUUUGGAAUGUGACGUUAAUGUUUAGUUCAAGCUCAAAGACACUCACUUUUCACUGUGGUGAAGGACUGAUUUUUGUUGUCUAGAUGACGUUGACAGAGUUGAGAGCAGUGAUCAGAGUAGGUUUUGUAGACUUAUUAUAGUCCAAAAAAGCAGAUAUGCAAGAGAAACUUGUUUGAUUUUUAAAAGGUUUUAUUUUUUUUAUUUUGUUAUUUUAAUUCAUUUAUUUAUUAAAACUGACAUAAAGUAUGGUUCUUGACUUUUAACAACGAUGGAGCUAUACCUUAGUGACCCAUCCUCAGAAUAUGAAACAAAAACAGCUCCUUAUAAAAGAUAAAAUGUAGUAUCGUAGUCAUAACAUCACAAUUUUUCCCCUGCAAAGCAGGAAUUUCAGUCUGGCUGGGACAGGUUUGUGAUGGAAUGUUUUGGGUGAAUAAAUGACCCGAAAGCAACAAAGACUGAAAAAAUUACAUUUUUAUUAGAAUUUAAUGCAUUUAUUUCCAUCUCAACCAAAUUGCUGUUUCUUUAGGAAAAAUAUUUUGCGUUAAAUCUUUUAGAUCUGUGCUCCAUCCAUAAAUGUGUGUUGUUAUACAUAUGAUUCAUUAUUACAACCAUUUAAAGUUACAGAAAAACAGGAGUUUAAAUGGUUACCUGUUUUUUAUUUACACACAAAUUUGCUUCUUCUGUUCCAUUUGGAAUAAGCUCUUUGUAUAGAUUGUGGUGAAAUAAAAACACAUUCAUAAGUUUCCUGUAACUUUAACUGACUAAACAUCUGCAGAGUUCAUUUAUUUCUGUACCAGAAAGUGGCAUCCAACGUCCAACCAAUAAAACAUGAUGAGUUUUUUAAAAUAAAAGUACAAAUUAAAAGAUAAUUGUUGCAGCUUCAAUAAAAUCUUGAUCAGAUCUUGUGAUUGUCCCACAAAAGUAAAUUCUUUUUGCAGCAAGACAGCAUAAAGACACAACAUGAAACAUGAAACAAACAGUAAAGAACACACUAAGAAAACUGAAGCACAGAACCAACAGAACCACCACCACAAAACCACCUUAAAUUUUAAUUCCUAACCUCCUUCGUCAACCAGGAAUAUUCUGAAAAAUUAACUUUUCCAACUGUUUAAAUCAUUUUCUCCUCCUUUUUUCUUCUUCAUUGGUGGAGUUUGACCCUCUAUCUUCAUGGUAACGUCACAUUGCUGACAUUUGUUCUUCACCUUCUGCCAAACUGCCUCUCGUUCCGUCCGAGGGCAUCUUCUUCAUUGUUGGUGCUACAAACUGCAGGGCUCGGCCCUCACUGUUUUCCAUCCUGUGAUCGCAGAUCUAUACAAAAAAAAAAAAAAAAGCGUUUUUUCUGUCAAUGCUCACACAUCAAGGUGUGAAUAUGUGCGUGUGUGUGUGUGUGUGUGUGUGUGUGUGCGUUUCCCUCCGUCCUGUGACAACGAGAGCUUCAGGUCGUUUAAAGGGUGGCCAGAAAAAAAAUUGACUGUUAAAACAAUAUCUGUUGCAUGAUGGGAAAGUGAGUCUAACCACUUGUCUUUUGCCACGUGAGUGCAGCCUAGCUUACAGCACUACUUGUAGUUAAUAAUUAAAAGGAGCACUAAUGAUGCUAAUAAGUCAUUUUUUAUCACUUAAGUGAAGUGCGAAAAUGUAGAAAAACAUCUCAACUAAGAUGUCUUGGUCUCCCUUUAACCGCCAAGCCUCAGCCCUUUUCAGACAGAACUGAAACAAAUGAAAAGUUGCACUGUUAAAAUUUAAAAAGAGAAAGAGGAAGUCUUUGUAUGUUAUGAAAUUAUUGUGAUAUGUGUUGAGAAAAUACAUUGACAAAUAUUUCUGUAACUUUCUGCUUCAUCCUUGCACUUGGCUGGAGGCUGACUCAGUAGUGUCAGAUUUAUUUUUAUUGGUCAGAAUAAUAAUUCUUGUUUAAAGUAUUCAACAGAGAGUUUAUGAAUAAAGAGAGAAACACUCUGUUAUAUUAAAGUUGUAGUAACUGGAGGGAUUUGGAGAGACUGAACUAGACGUUUAAAGCAACAAUUCACUUGAUGGGCAACUGCAACAAGAAGCACUUCUGUAAAGGCAUCAGUACACCUCUACUUAACUAAUUCGUAUGAGAACUAGACUGGACUAGUUGGUCUUGACUUGGGACUUGUUGGUUUUGACUGUGGACCUGUUGUCUUUACUUGGGACUUGUUCUUGACUUGAUAUGGGAAAAGUGGUCUUAGGACUGUUGGAUGAGACAAAAAGCACUUCAUUUGAACUUGACUCUGUGUCUUGACUUGUUAGUCUUGACUUAAAAUUUGUUGGUUUUGACUCUGGACUUGUUGGUAUUGACUUGGGACUUGGUAAGGGUCUUGUUCUUGACUUGGGAGUUGAUUUUAUUAAUUCUGACAUGGAAAUGGUGGUCUCAGGACUGUUGCGUGAUACAAAAAGCACUUAAUUUGAACUUGACUCUGUAUUUUUGACUUGUUGGUAGUGACUUUGGACUGGGUACGGGACUUGCUCUUGACUUGGGAGUUGAUUUUAUUAUUAAUUCUGACAUGGGAAAGGUGAUCAUAGGACUGUUGGGUGAUACAAACAGCACUUCAUUUGAACUUGACUCUGCAUCUUGACUUGUUGGUUUUGACUUGGAACUUGUUGGUUUGACUCUGGACUUGUUGAUAUUGACUUAGUUGUAUUGACUUGGGACUUAGUAAGGGACUUGUUCUUGACAUGGGAGUCGACUUUAUUCAUACUUCUGACAUGGGAAAGGUGUUCUUUGGUGCUGUUGGGUAAUAUGACAAUCACUUUAUCUGAAUAUGACUCUUGACUGAAUCUUGUCUUGUUCGCAUUAAGCUUGUUGGUUUUGACUUCAUAAUUAAUUCUGACUGGGGAAAGUUGGUCAGCUCCUCCUAACUGUACGAGAUGCAAACAAACAAGUGAGUGAACAUCAGGUUGUUCCGUUUUUCGCACUGAAGAUGUCCUAAGCUGCUCCGUGUGUCAGCAAGUAGGCCAAGCAAUUUGUCAUUUGUUUGAAAAACAGCUCACCCUGGCUCUAUUUUAGCAAAGCUUCACACUCCUCCAACCUAUUUUCAGAGCAACAGCAAGCUGCUUCUGAGGUUUGCUCAGGGCUCGAUACAGCUCUUGGAUGUUGUUAUAGCUUGUAGUAAAUCUGGACAAUUUUUCCCGCUCCAUUCGCCAGACAAAAAGCACUUUGAACUUUACUUGGAGGUUGAUGAUCUUGACUCUAGACUGGACUUGUUUGUCUUAACAUAUUUUUGGCUUGGAACUUGGUGGUUUUGAUGUGGGACUUGUUGGUCUUGACAAGGAACUUGGUAAGAAACUUGAUCUUGACUUUGGAGUUGACUUCAUUCUGACAUUGGAAAGGUGGUCUCAGAUGCUGUUGGAUAAUACGACAGCCACUCUAUUUGAACUUGACCCUUGACUCUGAAUCUUGACUCACUUGCUUUGAUUUGGGACGUGUUGGUUUUGACUUAGAACUUGUUUUUAAUGUGGGACUUGUUGGUCCUGACACCGGUCUUUAUCUCAGAUUUGUUGACUUGAUGAGCUGAUAAGAACUUCAUUUGAAACACACUGAAGCCUUACCCUUGCACGGUCAAAGAAAUGAGAGCAAAAUUAUCUGUCAUGUUGUCCAACAGGUUGCAGUCCUCACUUUCUGACUGGAUUUCUAAUUUCUAACGGUCAGAUUGGCUUUUUAACAUCAGACUUCCACAAUUUGUUUGAAAAGUUGCAGUGAGGUGUGACAUUACGGAAACCUAAGACAUAACACAGAUGCAGUGUAUCUCAGCCCUGAUAUCAAAGUGAAGUAAUGCUUUCAGCGUCUUGUUAGAAAUCUAGAGUUGAUAGAAAAAGUUCAGAGUGAAACCUGAGGUUACUUCUGCAGGAUCUGCUGUGCUAAGCUGGGCAAACUGCAAACUGGAAAUAUAUUGGGCAUAAAAAGUUGUGAGAGCGAUCUAAAACAAACUCAAGAAAGGCUUCAGUGCAAGUCAGCAAUAGGAAGCCUCAGUUUGGACCACUUAACGGGAUAACUGGACAUGUUCUAUUUCCUGGGGACAAUGGAGGUUUGGGAAGUUUGAACAGGGACUUGAAGUCCGGCAGCUUUGUGGGAAUCUACAUUCAAAAGGAGUUUCAAAAAAUUCUUAAAGGGAAGUCGUAAUUGGCAUGAAACCGUAGUUUGGCCCAGUCUGGCUCUUGAACUGGGUAAACUGGGCUACUUGUACUGUGCAGAUGUUUGGAAGGAACUUGAAAGAUGAGCAACACUGUUGAAGUUAAGAUCCAAUCUAGAUCUGGAAAGUCAAAGAUGGGACCCUGGUCCACUAAUGGGCAGGACUGGGCUAAGUGGAUGUUCCCUGCAGAACAGGGUUUGGAAGAAGUCUGUUAGUUCAGCAGCACUGAAAAAGUUAAGUUGUAAAAUAAGUUUGAGGUUAGAGAAAAUCCAUGAUCGCAAGUAGCCCCAGUUUGGCCCUUAAACUGGACUGACUGGGCCAGUUGGAAUUUUCUUUGGAAUCUGUGUGAACUUUCAAAGAGGCUUGGAAGUUCAUCAGCAUAGUGGAUGUCAGAAUAAUAAUUUAAAAAAAGACCAGGAAAUGGUUCAUGGGCAGUCGGAGAUGGCAUGAAGCCCCAGGUUGUCUUACGUCCUGGGCUAUAUGCUCAUGUAGCAACUUAAAUUUAAAAGUCAACAUCUAAAAUGAAUUUGAGAGCCCCAGUGUAUACCUUAAACUGGACUGACAGGGCCAGUUGGGCAUUCCGAAGCAGUUGCUUCAGAAUCAGUGGGAAUAUUUGGAAGAAGCUUGGAAGUUCAUCAGCAUAGUGGAUGUCAGAAUAAUAAUUUAAAAAAAGACCAGGAAAUGGUUCAUGGGCAGUCGGAGAUGGCAUGAAGCCCCAGGUUGUCUUACGUCCUGGGCUAUAUGCUCAUGUAGCAACUUAAAUUUAAAAGUCAACAUCUAAAAUGAAUUUGAGAGCCCCAGUGUAUACCUUAAACUGGACUGACAGGGCCAGUUGGGCAUUCCGAAGCAGUUGCUUCAGAAUCAGUGGGAAUAUUUGGAAGAAGCUUGGAAGGUCAGCAGCACUUAUGAAAGUCCAGAUCUUAAAGUAAAACCAGUCAAUGUGAAAACAAGAAAGCCUAGUUUGGCUUGCUUUAAGUGGAUGAACUGGGCAUGUGGAGUUCCAUGCAGAGUGUUUCACAGCACUCUGAAAGUCCAAAUCUAAAAAGAGUUGGGAAAUGGUUCAGAUCCAGCCAGUGAAGGCGGGAAAACUCCAGUUCGGCCCAGUUUGGACCUGCAGUAGGAACCCUGGUUUGAAAGCAAAGGUGGUGGUGGGAAUCUUUCACUGUGGAGCAAUGUUGCUCAAAAACAAAACCAGAAACGGGUCAGAUAAUCAAAGAUUAAAGGAUCGGGAUUCGGGUAGCGGUGUUUUGACCUUAAAGGAUCAGACUCGAUGACACAGCGUCCUCUGAUGUCACUUCCUGUGCUGUGGUUUUUAAGGGUGCUACAUACAUCACUUUUACUGAUUUGUUUGUUUGAUCUCACUUCAUCUUUAAGUUACAUAAACAUGAUUUGCUGAUUUUAAAAUGAUGCGCAGACCAGCCUUAAGUGUCGUUCAUUUCCUUUUAAUUCAACCACAGGACUCAUCAAAGAUUAUUUCAACAAAACAGUUUACUGCAAAUGUUUUUAUUCAGCUUGUAAACAUGUAGGUUCAGUCGUCCAGGUCAAGAGAUCUCUGAGCGUACAAAGAUUUGUUUUAUUCUGUAAGACGCCUCUUAGCUCUUCUGUACUGACUGGUGGGGAGUCAGAGAGCCUUUUUCCACCUGGUAUUAACAAGCAUUCACCUCUUAUCUAUCAUGCAUUUCCAACUUGUAUUCAGAUUUUGUUAGUGGCUACAUCAUUUACACUAGAAAGUCAUAAGCCCCUGCAAACAUUUACAUCCACAGUCUGACAAGACACGUUAGCAUUUGUGUGGGUGCAGCUGGAGAUAUUGCUGUCAGCAGAAUCCAGCAUGUCUCCUUCCAUAGGACAAAACGAUGGAUGGUAAUGCAACACUUUGGAAGCAUUAGCAUUUACUUCAAAAAAGAUAUGUGGUCAAAUGCUUCUGACAACCUCGGCAAGUAGUUUGAGUGAUCUGAUCAUAAGACCUCUUGGUGGUUGUUUAUGCUUGUAUUUAGCGUCGUCCACUUGUGAUCGGAUCACCCAAAACAUGUAUUAUUACCAGGUGUCAACAGGCUCUCAGACAUUUUAACCUCUUUUUGGCUGAGGGUCAUUGAGGUCAACAGAGUCUUUACAGUCACAUUAAUCAAAUCAACUUGAUUGACUUAGCUGUUAUGACUCUCACUUGACUGUCAUGUGACCUGAUUGAGCCUCAGAUGAAGUCAACAUGUGAAUGACCCAGACGGGUUGAAAGUGCAGAGCACUCACUAACACAUCAGAUUUAGAGAAUAAAAUAGAUUCAGUUCAGUACCCUUUGAUUUAAUUUUAUUGUUCGCAAAGUAAAAUUAAAAAAAAAACAUUUUUAAGCACUUCUGUUGUUCUAAAAAAAACCCAAAACAAAUUAAUUAAAUGAGUUGAUGAAGUCUGAUGAGCUGUUUAAAGAAUCAACAGUUCUGGUGACGUGAUGACGAGACAUUUGUACGACCGAGCUGAUCCUGGUCAAACACAGCAGUGAGUGCGAUGUGCGAUGAUGGUUAACUCCCAGUCUAAACUGAAAGUAGCUUUGUUUCCUGUCAGAAACCCACUCAAAGUGUUUAUUUAAUUUCCUGACUUCAGUUACUAAAUUCUCAUUUUCAAACUGAUUUUGAGACAUUUGAUGUUCUGAAUCAGGGAUGUCAGUUUUGGUUCAUUUUGUGCCAGCCCGAUAUCUAUUAACCGGCAACUACCAGUUAAUUUCCUUUUAUUACAGUGCUCCAUUGACUCAGUGAGCUUUAGUGCUUUAGUUUAAAGCGCUAACCAUUUAGAGGUGAUGAAAUUUUAAUGUUAUGUAAUUUAAAUGUCUGGCCUUUUAUUUUCUGUUGGCUUUGCUGACUGACAACUGGCUAGCUGUGUAAACAUGCAGAAACUGCCCACCCUCAGGUCUUUACUGCUUAGCUAACAUUAGCCUUGACUGCUCUACACUGCGCACUACCCGAAUUGGGUGGGGGCCAAGUUAGCGAGUUCCACUGCUCACUCUUGAUUACCACUUGUAAUGCCAUCCUGUAGUGGGAUGACAUUGUUGUGGAAAUAUUGUGGUCAGCCUCCGGUCUCCCCCCAGGUAGCAGCAUCAUUUUGAGCCGCGAAACCCCUUUAGCAUUGUUGACUAUGUUAGCUCCACUAACUGUGUUGAUGCUGCUAACUAUGCUAACAGAGCUUAAGCCCAGUUCAGAUCAAAGAUUUGCAAUGAGACAAAAGUGUUUUAGAACGCUGCAGAGAAAAGUUGCAGCAGUGUUAACUGGCAGGUCUGAGCUCGACACUGAUGAUUUUACCUGCAACUCAGCUGGUCAAAUCGCCGGCAGCUGGUUUUAGAAUGUAAAGCACGUCACCUGUUUGAACAGCCAGUCAGCUUGUAGUGAAGUCUGUUGGUCAAGUCAAAAUGAUCGCUGAUGGCAUGUUCGCUUGCUGCAGCAGGUGCUUCAUCCCUGCCUAGCCCUCUGCUUCCAUCCUCACGAUGUGCCGGUGUUGGAUGGUGGGUCGCUGCAGCAUCUCACUGUAUGUGUUUAUGCCGCGCCCACACACACACAUUUACUGACUUAUUAAUUGGCGCUGGUUAUUUAUAUUUAUGUGGAGUAUUAAUUAUGAAUUCAGUCCAUCUGAUGCCGGUUUUGUGUCUGUUUUUUAUCGUUUCAUCACUGUUACAAAUGCAACUGUAGCCACUAUCUUACUAUCACUAUUCUCAUUCAUAUUUUAAGAAGUCACAAAUUAUAUUCAGCCACAAAAUAAGCCUGAAAAGCUGUAAAUCCUAACAAGUACAGAGAGUUGUUGCAUAGAGAUCAUAUACCGUCUCAUUUAGUUGCCAUGGUGUGAACCAGCAGGUUUUUACAAUGUUGCAGAACGGCUGAUUGCAAGUAGUUGCUUGUUUCAACUCAUCUCAUCGUGAAUCUUAGAGUGAUGUUAAACGGGGGUUGUGGCUCAAAAUCUGGAGGGUGAGCACAAUGUUUCCAUGGCACCGCUGUUGGGUUGGGACCACAUUAGUAAUUGCAGAAUGAGCGUUUCCGAUAGUUAACUCCCACCUGAACCACCUGGUGCGCAGUGCGGAGCAGCCAAGGCUACCUAACCAGUGGAGACCGGAGAGUGGGAAGUGGGCAGCUGACUGUCUGUCUCCCACCAGAUCCGGGUGGAGCAAAGUGCAGUAAACUAAAGAGUAGCAGAAUUAACCUACAGACAGGCAUGCAGAAGCUUCUCAAAAAAUUUCUUGGUGGUUAACCAACUGACAGUUAACCGUUGACAUCCCUGUUCAGAGUAUUCAACAGAAUACACCAGAUUAUGUUGAGAUGAGAAGGAAUCAUUAGAUUUAUUUAGCCCUGACCUUUUUUUUGCUACCUCUCGGACUCGGGAACUCUCGGUAAUGAAGUCCUCUCAGCAGUCCCUAGAUGCGAACCGGAGUGGGAUUCAGACAUCAAACAGCAGCAUUCAUGCUGCCAUUUUAUGUUCCCUUUGUGCAAAUAAGAGAAUCACAAUCAAGUAGUUUAUCCAUCGUUUCUACUAAAUCUAAAAAAAAAGAUUUUCAUAUUGAUAAUUUUUUUUGUUCUCGUCUGCCUUUGCUCUUUCAUACAGUUGUACGGCUUGUUGUUGUGCAGAUUUUUUAUUAUUAUUAUUCUUACUGUUGCUAUGAAGAUUUUUUCAGAGUAUCUUUGCUUUUUCAAAGACGUUGUCAGCUUCCUGCAUGGUUUUCCCUGUGACUGUCUAUUUUUGUAUAUUACUAACGCUAAAAGUUCAUUUUUGUCAGCUGGCGUUUGUGUUUUUUGUUUUUGUUUUUACUUUGUUUUUUGUUUUUUUGGCACUUUACUCAAUUAAAUUAAAGGCUGGGGCGUCAACAUCAGUCCAAAAAAAAAAAAAACCUCCCCUGUUUGCCUUUUGGUUUGGAAGCCGCAAUAAUAAUUAGUGAAAUGCACCUUUACUUUACCUGUGUGAGUUACUGCUUCAACCCCACUUUGUUUUCCUGGAGCCUGUUUCAUUUAUUUGUUUGUUUGUUUGUUCUGAAGAGAAACAGUAAAGUGAUGGAGGACAGAAGCCAGAACAUUAAUGUGAAUCUAUUUUCCUACGCUGACUGACUGGAAUAAAGGAAGUGAUGUUCACUGGCAGAAAACAGA
Molecule: long non-coding RNA, 10083 nt
Organism: Epinephelus fuscoguttatus (brown-marbled grouper)
Lineage: Eukaryota; Metazoa; Chordata; Actinopteri; Perciformes; Serranidae
Exons: 2
Source: RefSeq, a predicted model, not a curated record